CAGUCGCCACGGUAAUACGUAGGGCGCAAGCGUUAUCCGGAAUUAUUGGGCGUAAAGAGCUCGUAGGCGGUUUGUCGCGUCUGCCGUGAAAGUCCGGGGCUCAACCCCGGAUCUGCGGUGGGUACGGGCAGACUAGAGUGAUGUAGGGGAGACUGGAAUUCCUGGUGUAGCGGUGAAAUGCGCAGAUAUCAGGAGGAACACCGAUGGCGAAGGCAGGUCUCUGGGCAUUAACUGACGCUGAGGAGCGAAAGCAUGGGGAGCGAACAGGAUUAGAGACCCCUGUAGUCCCUGUCUCUUAUAC
Molecule: ribosomal RNA, 301 nt
Filed under: uncultured bacterium
Lineage: Bacteria
Description: partial 16S ribosomal RNA
Rfam family: Bacterial small subunit ribosomal RNA
Source: RNAcentral